RNAcentral lists this ribosomal RNA (253 nucleotides) under uncultured bacterium. RNAcentral describes it as "partial 16S ribosomal RNA". It matches the Rfam family "Bacterial small subunit ribosomal RNA", at positions 524 to 776 of the family's 1533-position model. The record is from RNAcentral.
UACGUAGGUGGCGAGCGUUGUCCGGAUUUAUUGGGUUUAAAGGGUGCGUAGGCGGCCUGUUAAGUCAGUGGUGAAAUCCAACAGCUCAACUGUUGAUGUGCCAAUGAUACUGACAGGCUUGAGUACAGACGAGGCAGGCGGAAUUGACGGUGUAGCGGUGAAAUGCAUAGAUAUCGUCAAGAACACCGAUAGCGAAGGCAGCUUACUGGGCUGUAACUGACGCUGAUGCACGAAAGUGUGGGGAUCAAACAGG